GAUGAACGCUGGCGGCGUGCCUAAUACAUGCAAGUCGAGCGAACGGACGAGAAGCUUGCUUCUCUGAUGUUAGCGGCGGACGGGUGAGUAACACGUGGAUAACCUACCUAUAAGACUGGGAUAACUUCGGGAAACCGGAGCUAAUACCGGAUAAUAUUUUUAACCGCAUGUUUUAAAAUUGAAAGAUGUCCUUGCUUCACUUAAUGAUGGUACCGCGUUGGAUUAGCUAGUUGGUAAGGGAAAGGCUUACCAAGGCAACGAUGCAUAGCCGACCUGAGAGGGUGAUCGGCCAAACUGGAACUGAGAAACGGUCAAGACUCCUACGGGAGGAAGAAGUAGGGAAUCUUCCGCAAUGGGCGAAAGCCUGACGGAGCAACGCCGCGUGAGGGAGGAAGGUCUUCGGAUCGUAAAACUCUGUUAUUAGGGAAGAACAUAUGUGUAAGUAACUGUGCACAACUUGACGGUACCUAAUCAGAAAGCCACGGCUAACUACGUG
Molecule: ribosomal RNA, 496 nt
Filed under: uncultured bacterium
Lineage: Bacteria
Description: partial 16S ribosomal RNA
Rfam family: Bacterial small subunit ribosomal RNA
Source: RNAcentral